RNAcentral lists this small RNA (146 nucleotides) under Arabidopsis thaliana (thale cress). RNAcentral's name for it is "ATSL248380". The record is from RNAcentral. Lineage: Eukaryota; Viridiplantae; Streptophyta; Magnoliopsida; Brassicales; Brassicaceae.
CAACGGUGUCGUAUUGCUCUUCUUCUUUCUCUCCUCCCCCCAGUGUAGUAGUAGUCUCUGCUCUCUUCUUCUCCUUAAACGGCGUCGUAUCCGGUUCUUUCUUCUUGCUCUGUUUUUUGUUGUUGUUCUUCUUCUUGCUCUUCUUG